RNAcentral lists this long non-coding RNA (955 nucleotides) under Marmota monax (woodchuck). The record is from RNAcentral. Lineage: Eukaryota; Metazoa; Chordata; Mammalia; Rodentia; Sciuridae.
GUUAUCUUGCCACCUCCACCGUGCGCUGUGAGCACUGGCGCACACAUUCCUCUCAUGACACAGUGGAACACAGGAUGCAGAGUUUGGGAGACAUUCUGCAUGGAAUCCUGCUUUGUGUUCGUUAAGGGCGUUUGUAGGUAUGUGGGAAUGAGGGUUCCCUCUAGGUUUCACAGAUCUAAAAAAAAAAAAAAAUCAAAAGAGAAGAUAGGACUUGACCUGGGCUUGGGAGGACAGGUAUAUUGGGAGAGGAGGGGAAGGAAUCAUCCGAGAGAGGUAUGUUGAGAAAAUGCUCAGAGGAAGGAACAUAUGGCAUUUCAAUGGUCAGUAGGGAAACUAGCCAUGUGGGUCAGAGGGUUUGCCCCACCAAUGAGGGAGAGGAUGCCAGCACCCUGUCUUUCCUUCUUGUCACUCCUCUUCAACUUUGCCCAGGUGAUCUGCCGACAUCUCCAUUUUCCUAGACUGUAAGCCCUUUCCUAGCUCAGCCCUCACCUGUAUCUACAGGGCCCAGCACAGCAUUGGUACUUGAUGCACCUGUCAAUCAGAAUCUACUGGUGAUUGGUUCCAGGACACCAAAAUCCAUGGAAUGCUCAAAUCACUUGUAUAAAUGGGUAUAUUAUUUGCAUAGAACCAACAUACACUCUGCAUACUCUAAGUCAUUUCUAGGUUACUUCUAAUGCCUAACAUAGUAUAGAUACUAUGCAAACAGUUGCAAUACUAUUUUGUAAUGAUUGUAGUCACCUAGGGAAUAAAGAUAAGAAAAAACCGUGUAUGUGCUCAGUACAGAUGUAGUUCUUUGUGUGUGUGUGUGUGAGUGUUGUGGAUUGAAUCCAAGGCUCUGUGCAUACAAAAAAGCAAUUUAAUAUUGAAUUACAGGGCUGCAUCCCCAGCCCUACAAUUAUUUUUUUAAGAAUAUUUUUUGAUUCGUGGUUGGUUGAAUCUGUGGAGUGGAACCCGA